This 492-nucleotide ribosomal RNA is filed under the name uncultured bacterium. RNAcentral describes it as "bacterial SSU rRNA". It matches the Rfam family "Bacterial small subunit ribosomal RNA", at positions 28 to 507 of the family's 1533-position model. The record is from RNAcentral.
GAUGAACGCUAGCGGCAGGCCUAAUACAUGCAAGUCGUACGGCAACACAGUUGCGAGCAAUCGCAACCGGUGGUGAGUGGCGCACGGGUGAGUAACGCGUAUGUAACCUACCCUUCUCCGGGACAUAACUCCGCGAAAGCGGUGCUAAUAUCCCAUACCAACUCAUCAAGACAUCUUCUUGAGUUGAAAGCAGCAAUGCGGUGAAGGGUGGGCAUGCGUCCCAUUAGCUGGUUGGUGAGGUAAUGGCCCACCAAGGCUACGAUGGGUAGGGGUUCUGAGAGGAAAGCCCCCCACACUGGUACUGAGACACGGACCAGACUCCUACGGGAGGCAGCAGUAAGGAAUAUUGGGCAAUGGUCGAAAGACUGACCCAGCCAUGCCGCGUGCAGGAUGAAGGCCCUAUGGGUUGUAAACUGCUUUUAGCCGGGAAUAAACACCCGUUUUAUAACGGGCCCGAAGGUACCGGCUGAAUAAGCAUCGGCUAACUCCGUG